AGAGUUUGAUCCUGGCUCAGGAUGAACGCUGGCGGCAUGCCUAAUACAUGCAAGUCGAACGAGAGGAAGGAAAGCUUGCUUUUCUGAAUCUAGUGGCGAACGGGUGAGUAACACGUAGGUAACCUGCCCAUGUGCCCGGGAUAACUUCUGGAAACGGAUGCUAAAACCGGAUAGGUAGCAGACAAGCAUUUGACUGCUAUUAAAGUGGCUAAGGCCAUGAACAUGGAUGGACCUGCGGUGCAUUAGCUAGUUGGUGAGGUAACGGCCCACCAAGGCGACGAUGCAUAGCCGGCCUGAGAGGGCGGACGGCCACAUUGGGACUGAGACACGGCCCAAACUCCUACGGGAGGCAGCAGUAGGGAAUUUUCGUCAAUGGGGGGAACCCUGAACGAGCAAUGCCGCGUGAGUGAGGAAGGUCUUCGGAUCGUAAAGCUCUGUUGUAAGAGAAAAACGACAUUCAUAGGGAAUGAUGAGUGAGUGAUGGUAUCUUACCAGAAAGUCACGGCUAACUACGUGCCAGCAGCCGCGGUAAUACGUAGGUGGCGAGCGUUAUCCGGAAUGAUUGGGCGUAAAGGGUGCGUAGGUGGCAGAACAAGUCUGGAGUAAAAGGUAUGGGCUCAACCCGUACUGGCUCUGGAAACUGUUCAGCUAGAGAACAGAAGAGGACGGCGGAACUCCAUGUGUAGCGGUAAAAUGCGUAGAUAUAUGGAAGAACACCGGUGGCGAAGGCGGCCGUCUGGUCUGUUGCUGACACUGAAGCACGAAAGCGUGGGGAGCAAAUAGGAUUAGAUACCCUAGUAGUCCACGCCGUAAACGAUGAGA
Molecule: ribosomal RNA, 822 nt
Filed under: uncultured bacterium
Lineage: Bacteria
Description: bacterial SSU rRNA
Rfam family: Bacterial small subunit ribosomal RNA
Source: RNAcentral